Molecule: ribosomal RNA, 235 nt
Filed under: uncultured bacterium
Lineage: Bacteria
Description: partial 16S ribosomal RNA
Rfam family: Bacterial small subunit ribosomal RNA
Source: RNAcentral
GAUCAUGGCUCAGAUUGAACGCUGGCGGCAGGCUUAACACAUGCAAGUCGAACGGUAACAGGAGAGAGCUUGCUUUCUUGCUGACGAGUGGCGGACGGGUGAGUAAUGCUUGGGAAUCUGGCUUAUGGAGGGGGGAUAACGACGGGAAACUGUCGCUAAUACCGCGUAGAGUCGAGAGAUGAAAGUGCGGGACCGCAAGGCCGCAUGCCAUAGGAUGAGCCCAAGUGGGAUUAGG